RNAcentral lists this small nuclear RNA (82 nucleotides) under Pongo abelii (Sumatran orangutan). Lineage: Eukaryota; Metazoa; Chordata; Mammalia; Primates; Hominidae. The record is from RNAcentral.
GUGCUCACUUCAGCAGCACAUAUGGUAAAACUGGAAUGAUCAGCCCCUGCGCAAGGCCAAUAUGCAAAUUUGUGAAGUAUUU